This 494-nucleotide ribosomal RNA is filed under the name uncultured bacterium. Its description in RNAcentral is "partial 16S ribosomal RNA". It matches the Rfam family "Bacterial small subunit ribosomal RNA", at positions 28 to 507 of the family's 1533-position model. The record is from RNAcentral.
GACGAACGCUGGCGGCGUGCUUAACACAUGCAAGUCGAACGGUGAAGCGCCUUCCUUUUUGGUGGGUGUGGUUGAGUGGCGAACGGGUGAGUAACACGUGAGUAACCUGCCCCCUUCUUCUGGAUAACCGCAUGAAAGUGUGGCUAAUACGGGAUAUUCUGGGUCUGUCGCAUGUUGGGUUUGGGAAAGAUAUUGUUUCGGUGGGGGAUGGUCUCGCGGCCUAUCAGCCUUUUGGUGGGGUGAUGGCCUACCAAGGCGGUGACGGGUUGCAGGCUUAAGAGGGUGGACGGUCACACUGGGACUGGGACACGGCCCAGACUCCUCCGGGAGGCAGCAGUGGUGAAUAUUGAACAGUGGGCGCAAGGCUGAUGCAGCGACGCCGCGUGAGGGAUGGAGGCCUUCGGGUUGUGAACCUCUUUCGCCAGUGAAGCAGGCCUGCCUCGUUUGUGGAUGGGUUGACGGUAGCUGGAUAAGAAGCGCCGGCUAACUACGUG